RNAcentral lists this ribosomal RNA (207 nucleotides) under uncultured bacterium. Its description in RNAcentral is "partial 16S ribosomal RNA". It matches the Rfam family "Bacterial small subunit ribosomal RNA", at positions 130 to 334 of the family's 1533-position model. The record is from RNAcentral.
CCCUUGGUGGGGAAGUAACUAGUCGAAAGAUUAGCUAAUACCGCAUAAUGCAGCGGCUCGAUAUCGAGACAGUGUUAAAGCAGAAAUGCGCCUAAGGAGGAGCCUGCGUCUGAUUAGCUUGUUGGUGAGGUAAUGGCUCACCAAGGCUGCGAUCAGUAGCUGGUCUGAGAGGACGGCCAGCCACAAUGGCACUGAAACACGGGCCAU